CAAAAUCUAAUCUUUGGAUUUCUUCUCUCUCAGAGUCUGCCUAUUCUUACUCCUUAUUUCUCUCGUCUCCUCCUCGUGGAGGAGCCUUUCUGGCUGCUCAGGCGUUCGCUGUGUGAACGAUAAUCGAAAAUGAAUUCUUGUGGGUAUCAGCGAAAGAGCGCCAUGGGAGGCUGUGAGGAGAGGAGGAUGAUGGAGGUAGACUCUAUGAUUUGCCCCAAGCCUCGUCGAUUGGGCCUUUCAAUUCCUUCCCUUCACGAUCAAUUCAGACCCUUAAGAUUAUCCAUCAGUAACCAGACUGACAUGGGAGAUUCUAUUGCUGGGCCUGAGCUUCUUGACAUAAUUCUCACUAAGGGAGGAUGUGGUGGAGAAAGAUCAGGUUACCAGGUAGCAUUAUCGCCACCAUUUUACUGUGGAUCACCCCCAA
Molecule: unclassified non-coding RNA, 424 nt
Filed under: Hevea brasiliensis (rubber tree)
Lineage: Eukaryota; Viridiplantae; Streptophyta; Magnoliopsida; Malpighiales; Euphorbiaceae
Source: RNAcentral